GACGAACGCUGGCGGCGUGCCUAACACAUGCAAGUCAACUUGACUGAAGGAGCAAUCUGACAGUAGAGUGGCGCAAGGGUGCGUAACGCGUAAGUAACUUGCCCAAGGUAAGGAAUAACGUCGAGAAAUCGGCGCUAAUACCUCAUAAUGCAGCGGAUCCGCAUGGAUAAUGUUGUUAAAGGUUUACCGCCUUGGGAUAGGCUUGCGUCUGAUUAGUUAGUUGGUGUGGUAACGGCACACCAAGGCUACGAUCAGUAACUGGUCUGAGAGGAUGAUCAGUCACACUGGAACUGAGACACGGUCCAGACUCCUACGGGAGGCAGCAGUGAGGAAUAUUGGGCAAUGCUCGAAAGAGUGACCCAGCAACGCCGCGUGGAGGAUGAAGGUAUUCUAUAUCGUAAACUCCUGUGAGAGCAGACGAAAGACAGAUUAUUAAUCUGGAUGACUGUAUGCUCAGAGGAAGCCCCGGCUAACUACGU
RNAcentral lists this ribosomal RNA (479 nucleotides) under uncultured bacterium. RNAcentral describes it as "bacterial SSU rRNA". It matches the Rfam family "Bacterial small subunit ribosomal RNA", at positions 28 to 506 of the family's 1533-position model. The record is from RNAcentral.